This 747-nucleotide ribosomal RNA is filed under the name Aporcelinus sp. 1_FLO3A_SS121. RNAcentral's name for it is "partial large subunit ribosomal RNA". It matches the Rfam family "Eukaryotic large subunit ribosomal RNA", at positions 367 to 910 of the family's 3401-position model. The record is from RNAcentral. Lineage: Eukaryota; Metazoa; Nematoda; Enoplea; Dorylaimida; Aporcelaimidae.
AAAAGAACUUUGAAGAGAGAGUUCAAAAGGGCGUGAAACCGCUUAGAAUAAAACGGACGGAGCCGUCGGGAGCCUCCGGGAAUCAGUCUUACGAUACGUGAACGUGUCGCGGCUCGGAACGCGAGUCCGAUCGCGAGACGCUAGUAACGUUCGUUAGGCGCAUUUCUCGGAGGUGAGCACCGCGACCGAUACGAUAGGUCGACGAAGCGUUCGGAUUGAGGUCGAGACUCUUCGGAGACUCGUAACCAGUCCGUUCGUUGAAUCGUUGAACCGAACGAAGUAUCGAGCGCCUAAGUAAAAUAUACAUCGGCCUUAAAGCUCGCUCGAGUAACGGCUAGUCGGUCAAUAGUGUCGGCGCUUGCUCGCAGGUGCCGAUCUAUUCGAUUCGAUUCGAAAAGUUAUCGGCGACAUUUCGAUGUAUAGGCGUCGGCGGUGUCAGUGUCGGCCACCCAUCCGACCCGUCUUGAAACACGGACCAAGGAGUCUAACAUAUGCGCGAGCUAAUGGGUGGAAAACCCAAAAGCGCAAUAAAAGUAAAGGCUGUUUCGGACAGCUAAGGUAUGAUCCCGGUAAUCCGAGCGAUUCUGGGCGCAAUACCGUCCCGUCCCGACCGCAUGUCGGUAGGGCGGAGAUAGAGUGCAUACGUUGGGACCCGAAAGAUGGUGAACUAUGCCUGAGCAGAGCGAAGCCAGAGGAAACUCUGGUGGAGGUUCGUAGCGGUUCUGACGUGCAAAUCGAUCGUCAGAC